RNAcentral lists this ribosomal RNA (261 nucleotides) under uncultured Lachnospiraceae bacterium. Its description in RNAcentral is "partial 16S ribosomal RNA". It matches the Rfam family "Bacterial small subunit ribosomal RNA", at positions 269 to 549 of the family's 1533-position model. The record is from RNAcentral. Lineage: Bacteria; Bacillati; Bacillota; Clostridia; Lachnospirales; Lachnospiraceae.
CAAGGCGACGAUCCAUAGCCGGCCUGAGAGGGUGGACGGCCACAUUGGGACUGAAACACGGCCCAAACUCCUACGGGAGGCAGCAGUGGGGAAUAUUGCACAAUGGGGGAAACCCUGAUGCAGCGACGCCGCGUGAGCGAAGAAGUAUUUCGGUAUGUAAAGCUCUAUCAGCAGGGAAGAAAAUGACGGUACCUGACUAAAAAGCCCAGGCUAAUUAUGUGCCAGCACCGGUUAAUACGUAAGGGGCAAGCGUUAUCCGGA